CGCAGCCGCGGUAAUUCCAGCUCCAAUAGCGUAUAUUAAAGUUGUUGCAGUUAAAAAGCUCGUAGUUGAAUUUCGGGGUCAGUAGGUUGGUCAUGCCACUGGUAUGUACUGGCCUCACUGAUUCCUCCUUCCUGAUGAGCCGUAAUGCCAUUAAUUUGGUGUUGCGAGGAAUCUGGACUGUUACUUUGAAAAAUUAGAGUGUUUAAAGCAGGCUAACGCUUGAAUACAUUAGCAUGGAAUAAUGAAAUAGGACGUUCGAUCUUAUUUUGUUGGUUUCUAAGAUUGACGUAAUGAUUAAUAGGGAUAGUUGGGGGCAUUAGUAUUCAAUUGUCAGAGGUGAAAUUCUUGGAUUUAUUGAAGACUAACUACUGCGAAAGCAUUUGCCAAGGAUGUUUUCAUUAAUCAAGAACGAAAGUUAGGGGACCGAAGACGAUCAGAUACCGUCGUAGUCUUAACCAUAAACUAUGCCGACUAGGGAUCGGAUGAUGUUAAUUUUUAAUGUACUCA
This 507-nucleotide ribosomal RNA is filed under the name uncultured Glomeraceae. RNAcentral's name for it is "SSU rRNA". It matches the Rfam family "Eukaryotic small subunit ribosomal RNA", at positions 569 to 1078 of the family's 1831-position model. The record is from RNAcentral. Lineage: Eukaryota; Fungi; Glomeromycota; Glomeromycetes; Glomerales; Glomeraceae.